CCGACGGUGAGGGGUGAAAGCUGGGAGCACGAACCGGAUUAGAUACCCGGGUAGUCCCAGCCGUAAACGAUGCUCGCUAGGUGUCUGGGAUGGUGCGACCGUUUCAGGUGCCGCAGGGAAGCCGUGAAGCGAGCCACCUGGGAAGUACGGCCGCAAGGCUGAAACUUAAAGGAAUUGGCGGGGGAGCACUACAACGGGUGGGGCCUGCGGUUUAAUUGGACUCAACGCCGGAAAACUCACCUGGGGC
RNAcentral lists this ribosomal RNA (247 nucleotides) under uncultured archaeon. RNAcentral describes it as "partial 16S ribosomal RNA". It matches the Rfam family "Archaeal small subunit ribosomal RNA", at positions 691 to 937 of the family's 1478-position model. The record is from RNAcentral.